GAAACGGAACAGGGGAGAAACAGGGGAGAAAGAAAGAAAGAAAAAGUAAAGAAGAAAAUUAGGGUUUUUAAGGUUCAAUUUCAAAUUGAGAAAGAAAAGAAAGCAAAGGACCUAAUUGAAGAAAAAGGAAAAUAGAAGGCUAAGGAGUGAAGGAAGAUAUCAUCUCAACCUUUUUGUUGUACAGUUUGUCUCGAAGAGGUAAAGUUAGGAUAGAAGAUCUCUCAUCUCAUCACAUCCUCAAGAGCUUCAAAAGUAGGUACCAUAUUUUGAAUUAAAAUGGCAUGUACAUAGACAGUCAGUUAUGCUUCCAUGUGUUAGGAACUAAAAUGUAAACUCUUGGACUUCUAUCUAUUUUUAAGUACUUU
Molecule: long non-coding RNA, 365 nt
Organism: Gossypium raimondii (Peruvian cotton)
Lineage: Eukaryota; Viridiplantae; Streptophyta; Magnoliopsida; Malvales; Malvaceae
Exons: 2
Source: RefSeq, a predicted model, not a curated record